UAAAGAAAGCGUAAUAGCUCACUGGUCGAGUCGGCCUGCGCGGAAGAUGUAACGGGGCUAAACCAUGCACCGAAGCUGCGGCAGCGACACUAUGUGUUGUUGGGUAGGGGAGCGUUCUGUAAGCCUGUGAAGGUGUACUGUGAGGUAUGCUGGAGGUAUCAGAAGUGCGAAUGCUGACAUAAGUAACGAUAAAGCGGGUGAAAAGCCCGCUCGCCGGAAGACCAAGGGUUCCUGUCCAACGUUAAUCGGGGCAGG
Molecule: ribosomal RNA, 255 nt
Filed under: Escherichia coli
Lineage: Bacteria; Pseudomonadati; Pseudomonadota; Gammaproteobacteria; Enterobacterales; Enterobacteriaceae
Description: partial 23S ribosomal RNA
Rfam family: Bacterial large subunit ribosomal RNA
Source: RNAcentral